UUAUUAUCCUUAAAAAGAUAAAUUAAUUUACUCUUUAAAAUUUUAUUUCUAAUGGCAUACCUAUGUAAUUACUUACAAAAAAUAAGGUUAUAUUUAAAAUGUACUUCCCAAAUAAUAUAGAAGGAUGAUUUUUCAGUAACGGUUUAUAUUUAAUAUAAUUAUGGAUAAUAUGAGCAUUUACCAUAUGACUAAAACUUUCAUGGUGAGUGUAGCUGUCAAGUAGCCUAUUCAGCACGUUUUUUGAAAGAUCUAAAACAUGGUACUGACUUGCCAAAUAAAAGGGAUACAAUUAUUUCGUUUAAAGUGUCAAUUUCUUUUAUAGUGGUAUUUUCUGAUUCAUCAAGCAACCAUCGACCAGUUCUAGCACUCAACACUAGUCAUCUACUACGAAAACACCAAUGAGUGAACUAACACCUUAAUCAUAUUUUUACAUCCGUGAAAAUACCCA
This 448-nucleotide small RNA is filed under the name Arabidopsis thaliana (thale cress). RNAcentral's name for it is "ATSL027290". Lineage: Eukaryota; Viridiplantae; Streptophyta; Magnoliopsida; Brassicales; Brassicaceae. The record is from RNAcentral.